Molecule: ribosomal RNA, 517 nt
Filed under: uncultured bacterium
Lineage: Bacteria
Description: bacterial SSU rRNA
Rfam family: Bacterial small subunit ribosomal RNA
Source: RNAcentral
CGAAAAGUCUGACGGAGCAACGCCGCGUGAGUGAAGAAGGUUUUCGGAUCGUAAAGCUCUGUCUUCAGGGACGAAUGUGCUUAAUGUGAAUAAUGUUAAGUAAUGACGGUACCUGAGGAGGAAGCCACGGCUAACUACGUGCCAGCAGCCGCGGUAAUACGUAGGUGGCAAGCGUUGUCCGGAAUUAUUGGGCGUAAAGCGCGCGCAGGCGGGAAUGUAAGUCUGUCUUAAAAGUUCGGGGCUCAACCCCGUGAUGGGAUGGAAACUACAUUUCUUGAGUGCAGGAGAGGAAAGUGGAAUUCCUAGUGUAGCGGUGAAAUGCGUAGAUAUUAGGAGGAACACCAGUGGCGAAGGCGACUUUCUGGACUGUGUCUGACGCUGAGGCGCGAAAGCCAGGGGAGUGAACGGGAUUAGAUACCCCGGUAAUCCUGGCCGUAAACGAUGGGUACUAGGUGUAGGAGGUAUCGACCCCUUCUGUGCCGGAGUUAACGCAAUAAGUACCCCGCCUGGGGAGUAC